GACUUCGGUCUGGUGGCGAGUGGCGAACGAGGUGAGUAAUGUAUCGGAACGUGCCUAGUAGCGGGGGAUAACUACGCGAAAGCGUAGCUAAUACCGCAUACGCCCUACGGGGGAAAGCAGGGGAUCGCAAGACCUUGCACUAUUAGAGCGGCCGAUAUCGGAUUAGCUAGUUGGUGGGGUAACGGCUCACCAAGGCGACGAUCCGUAGCUGGUUUGAGAGGACGACCAGCCACACUGGGACUGAGACACGGCCCAGACUCAUACGGGAGGCAGCAGUGGGGAAUUUUGGACAAUGGGGGAAACCCUGAUCCAGCCAUCCCGCGUAUGCGAUGAAGGCCUUCGGGUUGUAAAGCACUUUUGGCAGGAAAGAAACGUCAUGGGCUAAUACCCCGUGAAACUGACGGUACCUGCAGAAUAAGCACCGGCUAACUACGUGCCAGCAGCCGCGGUAAUACGUAGGGUGCAAGCGUUAAUCGGAAUUACUGGGCGUAAAGCGUGCGCAGGCGGUUCGGAAAGAAAGAUGUGAAAUCCCAGAGCUUAACUUUGGAACUGCAUUUUUAACUACCGAGCUAGAGUGUGUCAGAGGGAGGUGGAAUUCCGCGUGUAGCAGUGAAAUGCGUAGAUAUGCGGAGGAACACCGAUGGCGAAGGCAGCCUCCUGGGAUAACACUGACGCUCAUGCACGAAAGCGUGGGGAGCAAACAGGAUUAGAUACCCUGGUAGUCCACGCCCUAAACGAUGUCAACUAGCUGUUGGGGCCUUCGGGCCUUGGUAGCGCAGCUAACGCGU
This 788-nucleotide ribosomal RNA is filed under the name Achromobacter piechaudii. RNAcentral's name for it is "bacterial SSU rRNA". It matches the Rfam family "Bacterial small subunit ribosomal RNA", at positions 76 to 860 of the family's 1533-position model. Lineage: Bacteria; Pseudomonadati; Pseudomonadota; Betaproteobacteria; Burkholderiales; Alcaligenaceae. The record is from RNAcentral.